This 200-nucleotide unclassified non-coding RNA is filed under the name Oplurus fierinensis. Its description in RNAcentral is "partial contains 16S ribosomal RNA and tRNA-Leu". Lineage: Eukaryota; Metazoa; Chordata; Lepidosauria; Squamata. The record is from RNAcentral.
UGAUUGAAGCUUUCUUCAGUACGAAAGGACCAAGAAAGCAGGACCAAUACCAACAGCAUGUCCUCACAACAAAGUUGAAACCAACUAAAACUACUACUCCCAAAUACAACCGAAAACAACGGUUUAGUUAGGGUGGCAGAGCCAAGUAUUGCAAAAGACCUAAGAUCUUUCCAACAGAAGUGCAAAUCUUCUCCUUAACU